Molecule: ribosomal RNA, 253 nt
Filed under: uncultured bacterium
Lineage: Bacteria
Description: partial 16S ribosomal RNA
Rfam family: Archaeal small subunit ribosomal RNA
Source: RNAcentral
UACCAGCACCCCGAGUGGUCGGGACGUUUAUUGGGCCUAAAGCAUCCGUAGCCGGUUCUACAAGUCUUCCGUUAAAUCCAACUGCUUAACAGGUGGGCUGCGGAAGAUACUAUAGAGCUAGGAGGCGGGAGAGGCAAGCGGUACUCGAUGGGUAGGGGUAAAAUCCGUUGAUCCAUUGAAGACCACCAGUGGCGAAGGCGGCUUGCCAGAACGCGAUCGACGGUGAGGGAUGAAAGCUGGGGGAGCAAACAGG